UUUUGUAACACUGGUGCUGGACUGAGGCCUAAUGGCACCCGUUUUAUAAAACUCAAGAAGGCAGCUGCAAGGAGAAAAUGGUGUCAAGGAGCCAGCUCAGCAGGACUCCACAUGGUGCAGAGGAGAGCACUCCAAAGCAUCAAAAUGUGUUGCCAUGCAAUUUGGACUAGAAAACUAAAAUGUGGGUAUACUGGGUGUACCAUGUAACUAAAUGGCAUGAAAACUUUCAAAAGACAGUAUGUCACACAAAGAUGUUCGAAUGUUUUUUACAUGCGCAUGUGACUUUGUCAGAUUCUUUGCAUCUGCAUUGGGCAGACCAUAAGGUAUUUUAACAAGUGCCGCAAUGAACACCAAUGAGUUAUUAGGGCAGCAAUGUACUCGCAUUUGACAGUGCACUAAUACUACCAGCUUUGGAUCCAACCGAAUGGGAGCUAUGAUACGCCACUGUACUGCCUUGACACCGAGCGGAGAUAAUGUUGGACAACCACGGCAAGAUGCGCGUUUAGAAAAAGGGGGGUGCAGCCCAUCCAUGAAUAACUAUGUGAAAUAUUAUAACCAAAACUAGACGGUGCGGCCUUACACGAAAAUAUACAACACAUUUCUAAAUAUACUGUAUACUCUGUCAGGAGCAUCCAUACGCUACAUAGGAUGUUAUCAAACGAGCUGCUGUCUUGAAAGUAAUUUGCGCAUGAAAAAACUUUUCCUGCACAAAUACUUUACCAGCCUCAUGCUUAGGAGCUCAUCUGAUAACCUAUGGUAUAUAGGUACACGAGUUUAGUGCUUGAAAUGCGUUUUCUGACCAGUAAUGUGGUGCAUCUUUCUCUUCAAUCGUAGUGCCAAUACUUCGCGAGUAUGCGCAUGUGUGUUGUUUGUUUGAUUUUACAUUGUAUACUUUCAUUUUUUAAAUGUCAA
This is a long non-coding RNA of Dermacentor silvarum, 912 nucleotides long. RefSeq lists it as uncharacterized. The record is from RefSeq and is a predicted model, not a curated record. The transcript has 3 exons. Lineage: Eukaryota; Metazoa; Arthropoda; Arachnida; Ixodida; Ixodidae.